GAUGAACGCUGGCGGCGUGCCUAAUACAUGCAAGUCGAGCGAACAGACGCGGAGCUUGCUCCUCUGACGUUAACCGCGGACGGGUGAGUAACAUGUGGAUAACCUACCUAUAAGACUGGGCUAACUUCGGGAAACCGGAGCUAAUAACGGAUAAUAUAUUGAACCGCAUGGUUCAAUAGUGAAAGACGGUUUUGCUGUCCCUUAUAGAUGGAUCCGCGUCGCAUUAGCUAGUUGGUAAGGUAACGGCUUACCAAGGCAACGAUGCGUAGCCGACCUGAGAGCGUGAUCGGCCACACUGGAACUGAGACACGGUCCAGACUCCUACAGGAGGCAGCAGUAGGGAAUCUUCCGCAAUGGGCGAAAGCUUGACGGAGCAACGCCACGUGAGUGAUGAAGGUCUUCGGAUCGUAUAACUCUGUUAUUAGGGAAGAACAAAUGUGUAAGUAACUAUGCACGUCUUGACGGUACCUAAACAGAAAGCCACGGCUAACUACGUG
RNAcentral lists this ribosomal RNA (497 nucleotides) under uncultured bacterium. RNAcentral describes it as "partial 16S ribosomal RNA". It matches the Rfam family "Bacterial small subunit ribosomal RNA", at positions 28 to 507 of the family's 1533-position model. The record is from RNAcentral.